This 366-nucleotide ribosomal RNA is filed under the name uncultured bacterium. RNAcentral's name for it is "bacterial SSU rRNA". It matches the Rfam family "Bacterial small subunit ribosomal RNA", at positions 29 to 418 of the family's 1533-position model. The record is from RNAcentral.
AACGAACGCUGGCGGCAUGCCUAACACAUGCAAGUCGAACGAGACCUUCGGGUCUAGUGGCGCACGGGUGCGUAACGCGUGGGAAUCUGCCCUUAGGUUCGGAAUAACAGUGGGAAACUACUGCUAAUACCGGAUAAUGACGUAAGUCCAAAGAUUUAUCGCCUAGGGAUGAGCCCGCGUAGGAUUAGCUUGUUGGUGAGGUAAAGGACUCACCAAGGCGACGAUCCUUAGCUGGUCUGAGAGGAUGAUCAGCCACACUGGGACUGAGACACGGCCCAGACUCCUACGGGAGGCAGCAGUGGGGAAGUAUUGGUACAAUGGGCGAAAGACCUGACGCAGCGACGCCGCGUGCGGGAGGACGGCCUC